CCGUAAGAGUUCACCACUCAUCUACAUCAUUUUUCAGCACAACUCUGUAUGGACGUGCUCAGUAUAUUACUUUGUAGUUAUCAUAAAUUAGAGCAUGACCCAAAGCUCAUUGAAGUUGCUGGACACAGCUGGAUAUGGAACACUGAAUGGGGUGGACCAGCGCUCUGAGAGGGUACAGAGAAUUGUUGUUCUAGAUGCUGGGCUGGUGUGACUUGCUCAUGCUCAGGGAUGCAUGAUUGUCAGAUCUGGGGUCAGGAAGGAAUUUUCCCUUGGCAAGGAUCUUGGAGGGGAUUUCACCUUUCACUGCAACGUGGAGCAUAAUACACUUGCUGGGAUCAUCUGGGCAUAUCCCACCUAAUCUAUUCCCUGCCAUUGCAGGGGAUUUUAGUAUUGGGGCACCUUGGUAUCUCCUGUUCUCUGCCUGCAUCACACAGUUUAGUCUCCUAAGGACUGAAAUGCUUUAGUCUAACUAAAGUCGUUGUCUCUAUAGGGGUAUCUGGUGAUAUUUAAUGGCCUUUGAUAGACAGGAGGUUAGACUAGAUCAGGGGUUGCCGACCCCUGGACUAAAUGAUCUAACAGCCCCUUCUGGCCUUAAGCUCUAGGAAACUAUCAAAGACUCCCAACAGACUUCAGUGUGCCUUUGAUCAGCCUCCAAGUGUGCAGUUUUUAUGUACUACUUCAGAAAGUUUGAUUUGCAACCAAGGAGCAGGAAAUAUGAGGUUGGAAAGAGUAACUACUAUCCAGCCUGAAAGUACACAGACUGUUCCAUGGUAGUAAAAGACCCUAGCAGUCCUUCAGAGCUGAUAGCAGUCCCUGGCUGGGCACAGAUCCAUGGUCAGACAGUUGCACACAUGAUGAGGCAUCAAGCAGUAGAGAUUCCUAGUGACAGCAUAUGUGUGGAGUUCCACUUUGCUGUGAAUAGUGAACACCUGGGAAAUUAUGCAUGGCAUUUGCAAUUUCCAGCCAUGUUGCAGUCAUUCAGAACUCGGAUGCAGCAGGCCUUACCUCCUCUGGCAAAUAAGGCCUUGGCAUAAUCAGGGUGGGUGAUGUUUAAGAAUGCUGAGAAACUCCCAAACCAGAUCGGGAAGGCAUACGGAUACUUCUGGCUCCAUUGCUCUAUUUUGU
This is a long non-coding RNA of Dermochelys coriacea (leatherback sea turtle), 1125 nucleotides long. RefSeq lists it as uncharacterized. NCBI's taxonomy places the organism in Eukaryota, Metazoa, Chordata, Testudines, Dermochelyidae. The transcript is spliced from 2 exons. The record is from RefSeq and is a predicted model, not a curated record.